Polyodon spathula (Mississippi paddlefish) is the source of this 771-nucleotide long non-coding RNA. RefSeq lists it as uncharacterized. NCBI's taxonomy places the organism in Eukaryota, Metazoa, Chordata, Actinopteri, Acipenseriformes, Polyodontidae. The record is from RefSeq and is a predicted model, not a curated record. The transcript has 3 exons.
UGAAGCUCAGAGCUGCUUUAAUAUUACGAGGUCCACCGAGGAGCUGUGCACACAAAGGAUCUGUAAUGAAAACACUGCGCUGCCUUUGCCAAAGCCCAGACCCUGAUAUACUGGAGGACAGUGGAAAAUAAUCCUUUUGUUGGUUUAAUGGUCUUUCGUACAUUUUUCAGGAAACCUUCACAAACAGAUGAGUGCUUGUGACUCCCAGCUCUCCAAACACUGUACGACAACGAGAGAGGGGACAAUUAUUCAAACACAGUCACACAUUGGUGCUGAAAGGAUAAACAAACCAGCACACGGAGCUCAAUAGACGUCUUAAAAGCUGUGACAAGAAGCAACAUUCCUCACUUUAGGAGAAAGGGCAUUCUAAGAGCGAAAGGCUGACCAAACUAAACAACAUUCAGCCCUCAAUCCGUAUCCCAGCUUGUUCGUGAGUUGAAGAGAUUAUGGGUUAUUUGCAGCUAUGCAGAUCCCGUUUUUAAGCUGGGUCCUUACGCCCCUCCCAAGACUCGACUACGACUGCCUGGAUUCCUGAACAAAGAAACUGCCUGUUGUGUAUCCAUCGCUCCCUCUAAUCCCAUCUAACAACAGUGUGGGAGGGGUCGUCAGCUACUGCGAUCCUGAACCGAAAAACAUGAACAGCUCAGGAAUAACUGCUUAUAUCAGGCGUAUCAAACUCCGCUCCUGGAGGGCCGCGGUCGCUCCACCCCGAGCUCUCAAUUACUUAAUGGGUCUAAUUAGUUGAUUAAUUGGGCGUAUUUUAACACUUCU